Eutrema salsugineum is the source of this 1196-nucleotide RNA transcript. It is a transcript of the gene named U11/U12 small nuclear ribonucleoprotein 25 kDa protein, with no coding region annotated. Lineage: Eukaryota; Viridiplantae; Streptophyta; Magnoliopsida; Brassicales; Brassicaceae. The record is from RefSeq and is a predicted model, not a curated record. The transcript has 6 exons.
CAAAUCAAUUGAACCAAUAAAAUAUAUUAUAAACAUAGUUUGUUCCAUUUCAAGGUAAACAUUUUGUGUUUGUAUUCAAUUCUAGUUCAUAUUUGGAUUCCCGGCAACGGAAUUUGUUUCUAGAUAUUGAACAAAAGGAAUAUGAAUUGUAUACCCAAAAAAAAAAAAGAAAUAUAUGAAUUAACUCAUUUGGGCCCAAACGUGAAGAGUGGUUAAUGGGCUUGGUGUGAGAUGAACAAUUAUCAAAAUUAUCAUUUCCUUUUUUUUUGGUGCGAAACCCUAAAAGAAAAAAAGAGAGGGAAAAAUGGAUAGCGGCGGCGAUAGUGUCGCAAUCGGAGAUUACGACGUUGAGAUGAAGAGAGAAAAGCUGAAAUCAGUUCUCUCUCAGCUACUUGCGGAUCCAAUUCUCGCAGACGUUCCAAGGAACCCUACUCUUUCGGAUGUCGUCACUCUUGUCAGCCUUGAGAAGGGAAGCGCUAUGCGUCUCUCCAUCGUCAAGCUCGACGGCUACUCCCUGGAUGUUGCGGUCAUGAAUUCAGCUACUUUGAAGGAUCUGAAGCUUUUGAUCAAGAAGAAAGUUACUGAGAUGGAGCAAGCAAACAUGGGUCAUCGUCAUAUAUCUUGGAAGCAUGUAUGGUCAAACUUCUGCCUUUCGUACAAUAAUGAGAAGUUGCUUGACGACGAUACUGUUCUUCAGGAUGUCGGAAUCCGAAACAACUCUCAGGUGACAUUCGUUCCAUAUGUGAUGAAGAAGGGUCCGGGAAGACACUCAAAGAGGAGGAAGCAUCGUCUCUUUCGUUCGCUCCAUAAGACUUGUUGAAGCCUUUUUACAUAUGAUGUUUUGUCUUAUGAUUUUUCGUGAUACAAAAAAGGAUGCUUAUGAGUCUACAUUGUCAGUUGAUUUUGCAAAGCGAAGGUGGAGUUGAUAGUCUGAGCCAUGCGAUACUAUCCCUUGAAGAAAGAGGUGACCAAAAAAAACAGCAACAUUGCUUCUCCCAAAUAAGUAGUGCACUAUCACCGGAUCAUUGAAAAACGCUCUGGAGAAUCUCGUAAGCAACGUAAAUCUUAAGUGCAGCAAUUGGCGUUGAUGAUUAUGGUUAGGACGAUAAAUAAAUGUAGUAGAAAAAAGUAGCAAUUGUAAAUGAAGAUGUCUGCAAAAUACUGUUGAAAACUAAAAAGUAAAACAAAUUAUCAUU